This 471-nucleotide ribosomal RNA is filed under the name uncultured bacterium. Its description in RNAcentral is "bacterial SSU rRNA". It matches the Rfam family "Bacterial small subunit ribosomal RNA", at positions 28 to 514 of the family's 1533-position model. The record is from RNAcentral.
GACGAACGCUGGCGGCGUGCUUAACACAUGCAAGUCGAGCGGUAAGGCCCUUUCGGGGGUACACGAGCGGCGAACGGGUGAGUAACACGUAGGUAAUCUACCCCCGAGUGGGGAAUAACUCAGGGAAACUUGAGCUAAUACCGCAUAAUGCAGCGGCACCACAUGGUGACAGUUGUUAAAGCAUUUAUGCGCUUGGGGAGGAGCCUGCGGCAGAUCAGCUAGUUGGAAGGUAAUGGCUUACCAAGGCUACGAUCUGUAACCGGCCUGAGAGGGCGGGACGGUCACACUGACACUGAAUAACGGGUCAGACUCCUACGGGAGGCAGCAGUCGGGAAUUUUGGGCAAUGGGCGAAAGCCUGACCCAGCAACGCCGCGUGAAGGAUGAAGUAUUUCGGUAUGUAAACUUACGAAAGAAUAGGAAGAAUAAAUGACGGUACUAUUUAUAAGGUCCGGCUAACUACGUGCCAGCAG